This 497-nucleotide ribosomal RNA is filed under the name uncultured bacterium. RNAcentral's name for it is "partial 16S ribosomal RNA". It matches the Rfam family "Bacterial small subunit ribosomal RNA", at positions 28 to 507 of the family's 1533-position model. The record is from RNAcentral.
GAUGAACGCUGGCGGCGUGCCUAAUACAUGCAAGUCGAGCGAACAGACGAGGAGCUUGCUCCUCUGACGUUAGCGGCGGACGGGUGAGUAACACGUGGAUAACCUACCUAUAAGACUGGGAUAACUUCGGGAAACCGGAGCUAAUACCGGAUAAUAUAUUGAACCGCAUGGUUCAAUAGUGAAAGACGGUUUUGCUGUCACUUAUAGAUGGAUCCGCGCCGCAUUAGCUAGUUGGUAAGGUAACGGCUUACCAAGGCAACGAUGCGUAGCCGACCUGAGAGGGUGAUCGGCCACACUGGAACUGAGACACGGUCCAGACUCCGACGGGAGGCAGCAGUAGGGAAUCUUCCGCAAUGGGCGAAAGCUUGACGGAGCAACGCCGCGUGAGUGAUGAAGGUCUUAGGAUCGUAAAACUCUGUUAUUAGGGAAGAACAAAUGUGUAAGUAACUAUGCACGUCUUGACGGUACCUAAUCAGAAAGCCACGGCUAACUACGUG